AAAGUAUUUUACUUUUAUUAGAA
This 23-nucleotide transfer RNA is filed under the name Drosophila spenceri. Its description in RNAcentral is "partial tRNA-Leu". Lineage: Eukaryota; Metazoa; Arthropoda; Insecta; Diptera; Drosophilidae. RNAcentral also lists the same sequence under 2 other names. The record is from RNAcentral.